This 24-nucleotide non-coding RNA is filed under the name Arabidopsis thaliana (thale cress). The record is from RNAcentral. Lineage: Eukaryota; Viridiplantae; Streptophyta; Magnoliopsida; Brassicales; Brassicaceae.
CACGACUAUGCCACUCCACAUGGU